UACGGAGGGUACAAGCGUUAUCCGGAUUCACUGGGUUUAAAGGGUGCGUAGGUGGGCAGGUAAGUCAGUGGUGAAAUCUCUGGGCUUAACCCGGAACUGCCGUUGAUACUAUCUGUCUUGAAUAUAGUGGAGGUGAGCGGAAUAUGUCAUGUAGCGGUGAAAUGCUUAGAUAUGACAUAGAACAUCGAUUGCGAAGGCAGCUCGCUACACUAUGAUUGACACUGAGGCACGAAAGCGUGGGGAUCAAACAGG
RNAcentral lists this ribosomal RNA (252 nucleotides) under uncultured bacterium. Its description in RNAcentral is "partial 16S ribosomal RNA". It matches the Rfam family "Bacterial small subunit ribosomal RNA", at positions 524 to 776 of the family's 1533-position model. The record is from RNAcentral.